Molecule: long non-coding RNA, 518 nt
Organism: Gossypium raimondii (Peruvian cotton)
Lineage: Eukaryota; Viridiplantae; Streptophyta; Magnoliopsida; Malvales; Malvaceae
Exons: 2
Source: RefSeq, a predicted model, not a curated record
CAUACAUUAUACAGUAAGCACUACGCAAUUAUAAAUAACCUUUAAUCUCCUUCAAAAGCAAUCACUAAGUAGCCCAAUCAGAUCAAAGCUGCCAAACAUUGGCUUCAACCAAACAUGGGUUGUAAGAUGAUCUCUAUGCUUUCGAUACUUGUUCUACUUCUGUCACUUUCACUACUCUUGCUUGCAUCUUCAACCACCAGCACUCGCGUUGGAAAGAUGGGGAACCGAGAGAUCCGGAGAAAUUUGAUAUAUGGAGGACCAAAAGGAGGACAUGAUCAUCCAAGCAGUGGUAAUGUAUGCCGAGGUCCUCGUGGUGGCUGCGGCUGAUAGUAUAGAGAAGAAAACUUAUACUUCACAAUAUAAUACUUUUAUCAUUAAGUUAAAAAGACGUUGGUAGCAAAAAAGAAAACUUUACUAGAACAAGCCAAACCUAGGGUUAUAGUUAACGUUUUGUAGGUCGUAUUUGUACCGUAUUUCUACUUUAGUAUUUCAUAUCAAUACCAUCUUAUAUUUCUUUU